UGGACCUGAGCUCAGGCAAGACUACCCGCUGAACUUAAGCAUAUCAAUAAGCGGAGGA
This 58-nucleotide ribosomal RNA is filed under the name Prototheca zopfii. RNAcentral describes it as "partial 28S ribosomal RNA". It matches the Rfam family "Eukaryotic large subunit ribosomal RNA", at positions 1 to 57 of the family's 3401-position model. The record is from RNAcentral. Lineage: Eukaryota; Viridiplantae; Chlorophyta; Trebouxiophyceae; Chlorellales; Chlorellaceae.